CUUUUGUAGAAUGAACCGGCGAGUUGCGUUAGUCAGCAAGGUUAAGUCAGAAAAGACGGAGCCGUAGCGAAAGCGAGUCUGAAGAGGGCGAGCAGUUGGCUGACGCAGACCCGAAACCAAGUGACCUACCCAUGACCAGGUUGAAGGCGCGGUAAAACGCGCUGGAGGACCGAACCCACGUAAGUUGAAAAUUGCGGGGAUGAGUUGUGGGUAGCGGUGAAAUUCCAAACGAACUUGGAGAUAGCUGGUUCUCUCCGAAAUAGCUUUAGGGCUAGCCUCGCAAAGAGGAUGCUGGAGGUAGAGCUCUGUUUGGACUAGGGGCCCGUCAAGGGUUACUGAAUUCAGAUAAACUGCGAAUUCCAGACAUUUAUGUGCGGGAGUCAGACUGCGAGUGAUAAGAUCCGUAGUCGAAAGGGAAACAGCCCAGAUCACCAGUUAAGGUCCCAAAAUUCAUGCUAAGUGGAAAAGGAUGUGGAGUUGCGCAGACAACUAGGACGUUGGCUCAGAAGCAGCCAUCAUUCAAAGAGUGCGUAAUAGCUCACUAGUCGAGUGACGCCGCGCCGAAAAUUUACCGGGGCUAAGCAUGAUACCGAAACUGUGGAUGUGCAUUUAUGCACGUGGUAGGAGAGCGUUCUAGCGGCGGUGAAGCAUGACCGAGAGGACAUGUGGAGCUUCUAGAAGUGAGAAUGCCGGUAUGAGUAACGAAAGACAGGUGAGAAUCCUGUCCGCCGCAAGACUAAGGUUUCCUGGGGCAGGCUCGUCCGCCCAGGGUAAGUCGGGACCUAAGGCGAGGCCGAGAGGCGUAGUCGAUGGACAACAGGUUGAAAUUCCUGUACUGCACCGAAUCGUUAUGAGCGAUGGAGGGACGCAGGAGGCUAGCAGCGCGUGGUGCUGGAUACCACGUUCAAGCGUCAAGUCUGAGAGCGAGUCAAAUGCUUGCUCUCAUAAGGACAAGGCGUGAUGAGGAGCGAAAUUAAAGUAGCGAAGGCUGCGACGUCACACUGCCGAGAAAAGCUUCUAGCCAGAGACGGUGCACCCGUACCGCAAACCGACACAGGUAGUCGAGGAGAGUAUCCUCAGGUGAGCGAGAGAACUCUCGUUAAGGAACUCGGCAAAAUGGCCCCGUAACUUCGGGAGAAGGGGCGCUGGUCGCAAGAUCAGCCGCAGUGAAAAGGCCCAAGCAACUGUUUAUCAAAAACACAGGCAUCUGCAAAAUCGUAAGAUGAAGUAUAGGUGCUGACACCUGCCCGGUGCUGGAAGGUUAAGAGGAGAGCUUAGCGCAAGCGAAGGUUUGAAUUGAAGCCCCAGUAAACGGCGGCCGUAACUAUAACGGUCCUAAGGUAGCGAAAUUCCUUGUCGGGUAAGUUCCGACCUGCACGAAAGGUGUAAUGAUUUGGGCACUGUCUCAACGAGAGACUCGGUGAAAUUAUAAUACCCGUGAAGAUGCGGGUUACCCGCGACAGGACGGAAAGACCCCAUGGAGCUUUACUGCAGUUUAAUAUUGGGUAUCUGUCAAGCAUGUACAGGAUAGGUAGGAGCCGGAGAAGAUAGGACGCCAGUCUUAUC
RNAcentral lists this ribosomal RNA (1566 nucleotides) under Lactobacillus delbrueckii subsp. bulgaricus. Its description in RNAcentral is "partial 23S ribosomal RNA". It matches the Rfam family "Bacterial large subunit ribosomal RNA", at positions 605 to 2181 of the family's 2925-position model. Lineage: Bacteria; Bacillati; Bacillota; Bacilli; Lactobacillales; Lactobacillaceae. The record is from RNAcentral.